GUACGACGACAAUCAGCUUUAUAUAAACAUCGCGCGGCACCUUGCACGAUACUUCCGAUGUCGUCGAUGUCGACCGACGCGGAGUUUAUUAGCGCCAUUAGCAAUCAGUGUGGUCAUCUUUACGAACAACUAGCGCGACCGCUUAGUAACUAGGCGCAUACUUAAUAGGUCGCGCUAGUCGCGUGAGGAUGACCACACUGAUUGCUAAUGGCGUAAACGGUGUAAAUAAACUGCGCGUCGGUCGACAUCGGAAGUAUCGUGCAAGGUGCUGCGCGAUGUUUAUUAUAAAGCCGAUUGUCGUCGUGCUCACCAUUGUACCGGCAAUCUGUUGUUAGCUCACGAGUAUCGUGAGAAUCCGUUCGACCGAAAUUCAUCGCGAGAGCGACGGCGUCAGUUAACCGUCGGCAGUCGGUCAAUCGCAUUUUUCGAUUCACAGCUAUUUGUUUUCGGUCUCAAUUCAUACGUAUAUCAGAGUACGUGAGAACGCGGAGAUAAUCGCCUAAAGUCGCGCGUGUGAUAUGCGUUAGCAACGGAUGCGGCCAACUAGCCCAACGGAACAACGAUUAUGUAUCGCGUGAAGGUGUUUGCGCGUCUCCAUCGUUCGAGAGUCGUUCGUUGGCAAACGUCAUGCCGUCGGGUACCGAGUGACGCGAAUCGUAGCUCGCUUGCCGUUUCGGGUUGUUGAGGCAUAAUAAAUUGCGCAUCACGCACAUCGAAAGUGUCGUGCAAGUGCAAGGUGCCAUGUGAUCUUCAUAUCAGAUAGUUAGGUUACCACCGUACUCCCAAGUGCACCGGGCGGGCGCUUGUUAUGUAGAUUGCGAAUUUCGUGAGACACCGUUCGACCGAAGCUCGUCACGCUAGCGACGGCGUCAGUGAUCCAUCGCCCGUCGGUCGAUCGCAUAUUUCAAUCCGUGGAUGUUUGUUUUCGGUCGCAAUUCGUAUGUUUAGCAGCGCAUGUGAUGAACGCGGACAUAAUAAUCGUCCGGAGACGCGUGUGUUGUGUGUAGCAACAGCCGCGACCAACCGAAAGGUUAUGUUGCACCGCGCGACGCGGCGUGAAAGUGAUCGCGCGAUUUUCUGGUGCUCGAAAUUCGUCAUCUACCAUGUUAACUUCCCCGACAGCGGCGUAGGUAAUGGGUCGAUGCGGAUAACGCUUUCGUCGUUUCGCGUUAACUUCCCGUCGCAAUGUAAAGAACUGCGCAACGGGAAUGCCGUCCAGGAUGCCGCGCGAUCGUCGUGCACCGUCAAUAAGAGUGUCGUCGAGGUGAUUAUUGCUAAAAUUAAAUAGUAGUGUUUUCGUGAGUGCCAUAAAGAAACAUCAAACAGGAACAAGGGAGGAGGAGGACCUGGGAGGCAUCAGGCAACGGCGGAGCAACCACGAGGUCGACGUGGAAAACUCCGCUGUUGCGCAUCGCGUGUCGAUAAAAGCAGAUAAUCUUAUCCUGUUGCUGCAACAAGAUUCCUGUUUCUGCAGCCGUUGUAUUGUCUACGCAGGGUGUACUCUCGAAAGGUAAUGCACCAAAUUGGCAAUAUUUAAGAAGCUUCAGUCGUCAUCGCUGUUAAUUGUUCCAUGAGAUCUAAUACAUUGUGAGAGAACCUUGAAAUAACAACCAGUAGGUGACCGUGACGGUUGCGAAGCCACAAAAAUGUUUUAUUUACACGUGACUGACAAACAUGUCGAGUUAAAUAUCUGGUAGUUAUACGAGAUUAAAUAAGAAAGGAAAUGAAAGAAAACAAGGAAAGUGUAUUUUAUUUUAUAAUAACUUGCGUCGACAAGUUUCUAUUCAUGAUUGAUCCGAAGUUAAAUUAAAAUCCCACUCGCUGUUAAGAGAAUUCUUGAAGUUUCCUGAUAAUAUAUAUCUAAUUUAAUUGCUUCUAAAUUUGAUUUAAAGAACAUUAUCUUUUUAGUGUGUUUGUGCGAUAAGGUAUAUUAUGUCUAAUAUAGAAAUAAAGUUGCAAACGAAUUUUGUCACUUGACUUCAAAUAUGAUUUCAAUUCAUUCUAAAUCGGCUUUAAUCUUAACCACGAAAUAAAAGCUAAUAGUCAGCACAGACACUUUAACAUAUCGCAAAUUUAUUCAAAUAAUAAAAUUCAGUCUUACGUCUUUUUUGAAAGUACUUCAAAACAGGAAACUUAGGUUUACUUAAAUUUUCACACGGUCAAAGAUAAAAACAUUCAAACGGUCAAAGAUAAAAAUAUUAUUUCUUCUCUCGCUAAUGGACAAUGAGUUUUUAUCACACCCAGUAGAUUGGUUUUUCAUAUCGCCUAAUUAAGAUUUUCACGCUCUAGAAACUUGCCAGUAUUAAAUAAUUCGAAUUCAACUUGCUGACAAUACCUUUAUUAAUGAAUCCACAACGUUUCGAUCUUAGAUCUAGGUCUUUUUCAAGUGAGUCAAAUGCAACAUAAAAAUUAAAAUGGACCUUUAAUCAAGGAAACACUCCAGUCUGUGAGAUCUUUUAAAAUGUAGAAUUCGAGAUGUUGAAAUUGAAAUAAUGAUUGUAAGACUAUGUUUGCUAACAAGGGAAAGAACGUUUUCGUGUUUUUUAUAAUCUCAGUUUUUUUCCCGACGUUUAAACCAUCUUUUCCUUUCGUUCUUUGUGAAACUGUCACUCAUCCGUUCGAUUAUGAUAUACAUGUUUUUAACUUUUGAGAAUGUUUUCUCUGUAAUUUCUUGUA
Long non-coding RNA from Solenopsis invicta (red fire ant), 2676 nucleotides. RefSeq lists it as uncharacterized. Lineage: Eukaryota; Metazoa; Arthropoda; Insecta; Hymenoptera; Formicidae. The transcript is spliced from 3 exons. The record is from RefSeq and is a predicted model, not a curated record.